AGUCAGAUUUUUGGUGAUCCGGCUGGUCGAAUACCAAUAGAAGAUUAUGCCCCUGAAAUUCGAAGUGAAGUGAGGAGAGCUUAUUUGUUGAAACAAAGAAACAAAGCUAUCAGGCAUAAAUUUGAAGUGGGAUUGGACGGUAAAAUUUGGAGAUCCUUUCAACCACAAUGGCUAGAUAAGUUUGAUUGGUUGGAAUAUAGUGUGAAAAGGGAGGCUGCCUUUUGUUUCCCUUGUUUUAUUUUCAAGAAUCCAUCACAAGCAGCUAGAUUUGGCAAUGAUGUAUUUACAGUAGAUGGUUACAAGCGUUGGAAAACUGCUUUGGGAAAUUUUAAGAAACAUGUUGGUGGUCCAUCUAGUUACCACAACAUUGCUGUGGGCUUAUGUGUUGAUUUCAACAAUCAAAGGGCCAAUUGUGCAAGGUAUCUCAUAGCUCAAGGGGAAGCUUUUCGUGGACAUGAUGAAUCUUCCAAUUCCACCAACAAAGGCAAUUUCAGGGAGUUCUUGGACUAGUAUAAGGACAAGAAUAAGGAUGUGAAAGAUGCAUUUGAUAAGGGGCAAGGCAAUGCACUUAUGAUAUGUCUAGAUAUUCAAAAAGACCUUGCUACAUGUUGUGCAUUGGAGGUAACCGAAGUCAUCAAGGAUGAGCUUGGAGAUAAGAAAUUCUCGAUACUUAUUGAUGAGGCUAGAGAUUGCUCAAUAAAGGAGGAAAUGGCAAUAAUUUUGAGAUUUUUAGAUGAUCACGGAGAACUUCAAGAGAGAUUUCUUGCUAUUAAGCACAUCACAGAUUGUACAUCUGCCGAAAUUAAAGAAGCAUUGGUUCAUGUGUUGGAGUACCAUGGCCUGCCUAUUAAUAGGCUACGUGGACAGGGUUACGACGGGGCUUCAAAUACGAGAGGUGAAUUCAACGGUUUGCAAAAGCUAAUUCGUGAUGAGAGUCCAUAUGCUUUCUUUGUUCACUGCUUUGCCCAUCAGUUGCAGUUACUGGUUGUCACAGUGGCUCAGUGUUGUCCAGUUAUUGCUGAUUUUUUCAACUACCUUCCCUUGAUAGUGACUCAGGUGGGUUCAUCUUGCAAAAGGAAGGAUGCAUUGCUUGCAAAACAUCAAGACAACUUGAUAGAAAUGAUGGAAAAUUGUAAGAUAUCAUCUAGAACUGGGUUACAUGAAGAAACUAACCAAGCUAGACCAGGAGCUACUCGUUGGGGUGGAGCGUCAGGUUUGAUCAUACAGAUGGAAUGCUUCCAGUUUGUGUUCAUCAUGCUAUUCUUAAUAAACUUGUUGAGCAUCACUAAUUUGCUAUCACAAUCUUUGCAAAGAAAGAAACAAGAUGUUGUUGAAGCCAUGCGUUUGAUCUUGGAUGUGAAAGAAGCUUUGCAAAAUAUGAGGGACAAUGGGUAUGAGUCAUUAUGCGACCAAGCAAACAACUUCUGUGAGGAACAUGGCAUUGAGGUGCCAAAUAUGGAUGAUCUUGUAGGAGCUAAGGGGCAAUCUGUUCGCAGCAAGAAAAAGGUGACUCGACAUCAUUAUUUCAAGGUUAGCAUAUUCAAUGUUGCUCUUGAUGCAACUCUCACCGAGAUGAAUCACCGAUUCAAUGAAGUUAACACCGAGUUAGUGGAUUGCAUGUCUUGCCUUACUCCAACAAACAACUUCUCAAUGUUUAAUGUUGAAAAACUUAUUCGACUUGCUGAAAUUUAUGCUGAGGAUUUUACACAAGCUGAACGGUUGUUGCUAAGAACUCAACUUCCUACAUUCCUUACCAAUAUUAGGAGAAGUGAUGAAUUCGAUGGAUGUUCGGAUGUUUCCACCCUUGCUCGGUUGAUGGUUCAAACAACAAAACACAGAACUAUCCAAUUGGUAUAUCGCCUCAUCGAGUUGACAUUGAUUCUUCCAGUGGCAAUUUCCUCGGUUGAGUGAAUACUUUCAGCAAUGAAGAUCAUUAAAACUGAUUUGCGCAAUAAGAUAUCAGACGAUUGGCUCAAUGAUUUAAUGGUGUGCUAUUGCGAGAAAAGGAUAUUCAAAAGUAUCCCCGAUGAUCAAAUUAUGAUACGAUUCCAGAAAAUGAAAGAUCGCAAUGGACACUUGCCUCGUGAGUACAAUGUGAUCCAUGUAUGA
This 2109-nucleotide ribosomal RNA is filed under the name Triticum aestivum (bread wheat). RNAcentral describes it as "partial small subunit ribosomal RNA". Lineage: Eukaryota; Viridiplantae; Streptophyta; Magnoliopsida; Poales; Poaceae. The record is from RNAcentral.